UGGGACGUGCGUAAUGUUUCAUUCGUCCCUCCUGGUUGGGACAGUUGAAACAACAUAAGGGGACGAAUGAAACAUACCGUUUAAGCCAUAUACACGUCCAACAACUUCGACAUUUUACUACAUAUCAUGAAUGAACGAGGUGAGCAGAGCAGAGGAGGAUCCCUCACCGUUGACGACACAGGCUCCUGGAACUCCGGGCUCAGCUCAUGGCAGAAGAGAUAGAGCAGCAAGCGCUCACACCUCUGUAGACGAGACAACAAGAGGAGAGGAGAGGAGAGGAGAGGAGAGGAGAGAGGGGAGAGAGGAGAGGAGAGGAGAGGAGAGGAGAUCAUGGGAAAUCGAGGUGAAAAGAGUAAAAAUCAAAAGAUAAUUAAAUCUGAACUGAUGAUGGAGGAGAGGUAAAGAUGUGUGUACAGUAACGAGGAAAA
Long non-coding RNA from Alosa sapidissima (American shad), 428 nucleotides. RefSeq lists it as uncharacterized. NCBI's taxonomy places the organism in Eukaryota, Metazoa, Chordata, Actinopteri, Clupeiformes, Clupeidae. The transcript is spliced from 3 exons. The record is from RefSeq and is a predicted model, not a curated record.